Equus caballus (horse) is the source of this 2042-nucleotide long non-coding RNA. Lineage: Eukaryota; Metazoa; Chordata; Mammalia; Perissodactyla; Equidae. The record is from Ensembl.
GAUGCAUCCUGAAGAGUCUCACUCUUUCCUCUGUUCCCAGCAGCCCAGCUUUCUUCUGGGGAGGCAAACCGCGCCCCAGGUUUCUGUGUCUCCUUCAGAGAGAACACAAGGGGCAAGUCUAAUGGGGGCUCCCACACCUCUAACUCGGUAGUUCACUUGAGGGGUGUCUGUGUGUGUGUGUCUGAUUGUGUUACUUGCUUGCCUAGAAAGCUUGGGAGGCUCCUGGAAGGCCAUCUAAGGUCCUUGCCUGGCCUGCAGCAUCUGGUGGCCUGGCCUGGCGCAGCUCACUCCUCCCCGGCAGCAGGAUGGGUCACAAUGCCCUCCCUUCCAGUGUCUCCCGUCUGCCACAGACCCUUGCACGUGCUGUUCCCUCUCUCUAGAACACCCUGCUCCCUUUCACGUAACCAACAUCUCAUCUACCAGCCCCUUCCUCCAGGAAGCCAUCCCCAAAUACUAGGCAGGGUUACAUCUCCCGGGAAGGCCCUCUCGGGACACCCUGUUCCCUCUCCUUGCUCCAGGAGAGAGGAACCAGUUCUAAUUUGGGCACCAGGCGCGGUGCCUGGCACGUAACAGGCUUUCAGUAAAUAUUUGUGGAGAGUGAAGGCGCCUGUGAAUCCUUCAUGUCAUGGCAGGAGGCGCCAGAGCCAGGGCUGUCGGCAGGAGUGGAGGGACCCCCAGCGCUGGGUGCUGGGCCAGGCAGGUUCUCCAUGGUGAUCCAGCAACAGCAGGUCCAACCCAGGGUCAACAGAGAGAAGCCAAAUAUCCUAAGAGUGGACAGUGGUCAGUAAUGGGGCCAGUGGGUGACCGGCUCCCACUCCGCCAGGCCUGAGGCUCAGAGUUCCCUGGAGGAGCAAGGACAUUCCUAGGAGGACCAGACCAGGCGUCAGAUCAGGAACUAGGGACCCAUCCAGACAGGGAGGGAGAGCUGAGGGCCUGGGGCCUCCCGAGGGCUUGGGCUGGGGUAUCGCCGAGUGUUCUGGAGGAUUAGUAAGGGGCUGUGUAAAGGCUCCGGAAUCAUGCGGGGUCCUACCUCUGCCCUGCCAGGAGUGUCGGCCUCUCGCAGAGGGGCAAGGCUGAGGCCCGGCAAGGCGACCGAAAGUGUCCUUCCAGUGUCUGGAGCAGAAGGCCUAGGGUGUGACCUUUGACCCCCAAGCUCUACCGCAUCCCCUGGGCUCGGAAAGGUUGAAGGAGGAGCUGAACCACCUCUGCAGGCCAAGGUUCCACACUUCCAGCCUGAGGCCAGAGGGAAAAGUAAAGCUCACAAACAGCACCGAAGAGAGAAGCAGGCUGGAGGCUGACGAACCUCAGACGCAGGUGUGACUCCGUGGGGGAAAGACGCUCACGGAGAAAAGCCAAAUCCCGACAGGGUCAUAGUGCAUGGAGGAUGACCACCAUUCUUUGCCACUUCUCUGCAUUCAGAGACUAGAUCUAAUUCCCUGCCCUUGCAUCGGGGCUGGCCUCUGACUUCUUUCGAGGAGUGGGAUGCAGCGCAAGUGAUGCUGUGUAGGUCCCAAGGCCGCAGAGAUCUGCAGCUUCUGUCUUUGCUUCUUGGAACCUGACUGCCAUUCUGUGAGGAAGCCCAAGUAGCCGAGUGGGGAGGCCCCAGCAGAGAGGAGGGGAGCACCCCUGAACUUCCACCUGCAGCCAAGCCGGGGGAGUGUGGACACUUGGUGCCUUCCAGCCUUCCCAGUGUCCCAGCUGACACCACACAAAGCAGAAGGACCACGAUCAACCCACAGUUGUGAGAAAUAAUACAUUUUUGUUGUUUUGAGUCACCAAGUUUUAGGGUUUUUUAUGACAUAGAAAUGGUGGCAGAAGCAGGACCAUUUCCGCUCUGCAGGUGGGAGUGGCCAGCCUGCUGGAAGGAUGCAUGGGUUGAACUGCUUCUGGGGCCCUGUAGGGAUAGAGAUAAGGGCAGAUCCCAAUAAAGCAACGUUGAUUUUUUUUUAAUGUUUAUAUUUAUCGAAGUAAUAUAUAUAUACAUAUGUAUGUAAGUGUGUGUGGCAACAACUCAGAUACACCAGGGAAGCUCACGGUGAAAG